UCAUAGUUUCCUUCUAACUUUGACUGUCCAGCUGGAUUGUCCGUCUUAUAUAAAAUUUUUUUAUAAUUCGUAUUUUUAUCGUUGUUAGAUGAUAAAACAUGAUUAAUAUUUUAUGCGUAACUUGUCUGUUUAAUUUUUUUUAUAUUUUUUAAAAUAAGACGGACGGUUAAAUACUGGGUACGGAAACC
Non-coding RNA from Oryza nivara, 188 nucleotides. The record is from Rfam. Lineage: Eukaryota; Viridiplantae; Streptophyta; Magnoliopsida; Poales; Poaceae.